UACGUAGGUGGCAAGCGUUGUCCGGAAUUAUUGGGCGUAAAGCGCGCGCAGGCGGUCCUUUAAGUCUGAUGUGAAAGCCCUCGGCUCAACCGAGGAGGGUCAUUGGAAACUGGAGGAUUUGAGUGCAGAAGAGGAAAGUGGAAUUCCAAGUGUAGCGGUGAAAUGCGUAGAGAUUUGGAGGAACACCAGUGGCGAAGGCGACUUUCUGGUCUGUAACUGACGCUGAGGCGCGAAAGCGUGGGGAGCAAACAGG
RNAcentral lists this ribosomal RNA (253 nucleotides) under uncultured bacterium. Its description in RNAcentral is "partial 16S ribosomal RNA". It matches the Rfam family "Bacterial small subunit ribosomal RNA", at positions 524 to 776 of the family's 1533-position model. The record is from RNAcentral.